AGAUUGAACGCUGGCGGCAUGCCUAACACAUGCAAGUCGAACGGGAGUAGCAAUACUCUAGUGGCGGACGGGUGAGGAAUACGUAGGAAUUUGCCCUUAAGUGGGGGAUAACCCGGGGAAACCCGGAUUAAUACCGCAUGACCUCGAAAGAGCAAAGUGGGGGAUCGCAAGACCUCACGCUUUUGGAGAAGCCUACGUCGGAUUAGCUAGUUGGUGAGGUAAUGGCUCACCAAGGCGACGAUCCGUAACUGGUCUGAGAGGAUGAUCAGUCACACCGGGACUGAGACACGGUCCGGACUCCGUACGGGAGGCAGCAGUGGGGAAUAUGGACAAGUGGGCGCAAGCCUGAUCCGAGCAAUGCCGCGUGUGUGAAGAAGGUCCGUUGGUUGUAAGCACGUUUAAGUUGGGAAAG
RNAcentral lists this ribosomal RNA (412 nucleotides) under uncultured soil bacterium. RNAcentral describes it as "bacterial SSU rRNA". It matches the Rfam family "Bacterial small subunit ribosomal RNA", at positions 26 to 449 of the family's 1533-position model. The record is from RNAcentral.